UCUACGGGAGGCAGCAGUGAGGAAUAUUGGUCAAUGGGCGGGAGCCUGAACCAGCCAAGUCGCGUGAGGGAAGACGGUCCUACGGAUUGUAAACCUCUUUUGCCGGGGAGCAACGGGGUCCUUGCGAGGGCCCAAUGAGAGUACCCGGAGAAAAAGCAUCGGCUAACUCCGUGCCAGCAGCCGCGGUAAUACGGAGGAUGCGAGCGUUAUCCGGAUUUAUUGGGUUUAAAGGGUGCGUAGGCGGGCUGUUAAGUCAGCGGUGAAAGUUUGUGGCUCAACCAUAAAAUUGCCGUUGAAACUGGAAGACUUGAGUGUGUUUGAGGUAGGCGGAAUGCGUGGUGUAGCGGUGAAAUGCAUAGAUAUCACGCAGAACUCCGAUUGCGAAGGCAGCUUACUAAGCCAUAACUGACACUGAAGCACGAAAGCGUGGGGAUCAAACAGGAUUAGAUACCCGAGUAGUC
This 461-nucleotide ribosomal RNA is filed under the name uncultured bacterium. RNAcentral describes it as "partial 16S ribosomal RNA". It matches the Rfam family "Bacterial small subunit ribosomal RNA", at positions 338 to 795 of the family's 1533-position model. The record is from RNAcentral.